AAAUUGAAGAGUUUGAUCAUGGCUCAGAUUGAACGCUGGCGGCAGGCCUAACACAUGCAAGUCGAACGGUAACAGGAAACAGCUUGCUGUUUCGCUGACGAGUGGCGGACGGGUGAGUAAUGUCUGGGAAACUGCCUGAUGGAGGGGGAUAACUACUGGAAACGGUAGCUAAUACCGCAUAACGUCGCAAGACCAAAGAGGG
RNAcentral lists this ribosomal RNA (202 nucleotides) under Escherichia coli. RNAcentral describes it as "partial 16S ribosomal RNA". It matches the Rfam family "Bacterial small subunit ribosomal RNA", at positions 1 to 210 of the family's 1533-position model. The record is from RNAcentral. Lineage: Bacteria; Pseudomonadati; Pseudomonadota; Gammaproteobacteria; Enterobacterales; Enterobacteriaceae. RNAcentral also lists the same sequence under 1 other name.